UACACAACAUGUGGUUAGGUCUCACUGCUGU
Molecule: non-coding RNA, 31 nt
Filed under: Mus musculus (house mouse)
Lineage: Eukaryota; Metazoa; Chordata; Mammalia; Rodentia; Muridae
Source: RNAcentral